GUGGGGAAUAUUGGACAAUGGGCGAAAGCCUGAUCCAGCCAUGCCGCGUGUGUGAAGAAGGUCUUCGGAUUGUAAAGCACUUUAAGUUGGGAGGAAGGGCAGUAAGUUAAUACCUUGCUGUUUUGACGUUACCGACAGAAUAAGCACCGGCUAACUUCGUGCCAGCAGCCGCGGUAAAACGAAGGGUGCAAGCGUUAAUCGGACUUACUGGGCGUAAAGCGCGCGUAGGUGGUUUUGUAAUUUGGAGGUGAAAUCCCCGGGCUCAAACUGGGAACUGCCUCUAAAACGGCAUGACUAGGAGACGGGAGAGGGUAGUGGAAUUUCCUGUGUAGGAGUGAAAUGCGUAAAUAUAGGAAGGAACACCAGUGGCGAAGGCGACUACCUGGACUGAUACUGACACUGGGGUGCGAAAGCGUGGGGAGCAAACAGGAUUAGAAACCCGAGUAGUCC
This 450-nucleotide ribosomal RNA is filed under the name uncultured bacterium. RNAcentral's name for it is "partial 16S ribosomal RNA". It matches the Rfam family "Bacterial small subunit ribosomal RNA", at positions 354 to 796 of the family's 1533-position model. The record is from RNAcentral.